AGAAGAGCAGUGUGGCUUGAAAGGCUGGGUAAUGAAGACACCUCAAGUGACUGGAAAGAGCCUUAAGUUAAAGGCAACAGGACUCUGAAGCUGUCACUGUUGUUAAUCCAGCUACCAACAAAGAUGUGAUCUAAAUGAUGAACUAGGAGAAGAGUUCCCUGCCCACUGUCUCCCCAGGCUACCAACUCGCUUCAUACAAAUACCAAAUAUUUUGCUUUUAAAAACUCUUCAGAGAACAGUGAUGACAAAUAACUGUAAAUGCCUAAAAUGGACGGAUUGACAGAAGCCACAAAGCCUUGUUCUGUAUAAUGACAUCUGGUCAAUAACUUUAAAAAAAUUACAUUUUGUAUAUUUUUCAGUUUAACUCAAAAUAAUGAAUGUUCAGCCACUGAAGUUGUACCGCUUUUCAUUCACCAGCAUGUAUAUUUCUGUGAGGAAAACAUCUGUGGUAAACUAGUAUAUCAAAACCAUACAUCAAAAUUCCCCUCAUUAUCCCUGAAAGGCAUGUCAUUGAAGCCUCUGGUCUUUAUCUUAACUUCCACUUAGAUUUUGCUCUCUCCUUCUUUGAACUACUCCUAGAACCCUCUAGGCCGAACCCUCUAGGCCAAACCCUGGAAUCCAGGCAAGCUACACCUUUACCAUACAACUCACC
Molecule: long non-coding RNA, 652 nt
Organism: Dermochelys coriacea (leatherback sea turtle)
Lineage: Eukaryota; Metazoa; Chordata; Testudines; Dermochelyidae
Exons: 3
Source: RefSeq, a predicted model, not a curated record